Molecule: ribosomal RNA, 497 nt
Filed under: uncultured bacterium
Lineage: Bacteria
Description: partial 16S ribosomal RNA
Rfam family: Bacterial small subunit ribosomal RNA
Source: RNAcentral
GAUGAACGCUGGCGGCGUGCCUAAUACAUGCAAGUCGAGCGAACAGACGAGGAGCUUGCUCCUCUGACGUUAGCGGCGGACGGGUGAGUAACACGUGGAUAACCUACCUAUAAGACUGGGAUAACUUCGGGAAACCGGAGCUAAUACCGGGUAAUAUAUUGAACCGCAUGGUUCAAUAGUGAAAGGCGGUUUUGCUGUCACUUAUAGAUGGAUCCGCGCCGCAUUAGCUAGUUGGUAAGGUAACGGCUUACCAAGGCAACGAUGCGUAGCCGACCUGAGAGGGUGAUCGGCCACACUGGAACUGAGACACGGUCCAGACUCCUACGGGAGGCAGCAGUAGGGAAUCUUCCGCAAUGGGCGAAAGCUUGACGGAGCAACGCCGCGUGAGUGAUGAAGGUCUUCGGAUCGUAAAACUCUGUUAUUAGGGAAGAACAAAUGUGUAAGUAACUAUGCACGUCUUGACGGUACCUAAUCAGAAAGCCACGGCUAACUACGUG